AUGAUUUCUGAUAGGUCCUCGUACUUUUGACCGGUCCUUGCACUUAUGACUAGUCAUCAUUUAUGCCCGUUGCAGCAUUCUUAACAACCGUGUCACUCAUUUCACAACUGCAAUGCUUCAUGUGACCUGGUGGCCGUGGCCAGGUGGUCAUAUGGCAUCACUUCUUUGCCCUAAUGACAGUUUGCUGCAAUGUUCAUAAGUGUGAAAAACGGUCAUAAGUCACUUUUUCCAGUGCCAUUGUAAUUGUUGUAAAUCAAGGAUUAUGUGUAGAAAAAUACAAAAAACUUCUUUGCUUGCAAAAAGCUGCCCUAAAUACCAAUCAUUAGAUUAGAAAUACCUGCAAACUGAAGUUGCAAAUCAGGGAGGGUGCCAGAGCACCUUGAGGAAUUAAAAUAGUUAAAAUGCAGUGAUACUAUCAGCAGCCAACUCUUGCUCAUAAAGUGAAACCCUUUAGCAGAGAGGUCAUUUAAACUCUCCAGAAUGAAGCAAAGGAGCAAACAGAGUAUCUAUUGCUUGUUAAACCAAUUACCAGAACAAAUAGACACAGAACUAGUCAGAUUUCCAAAGCUGCUUCUUUUCAGGAUCAGAGAUUAACAUUUUUCCUUCCAAAUAAAGCUGAAUAGGGAAAAUUAUCUCAUCACUAAACACAGGAUUAAAGAUCACCAAGCACAGAAUUAAACUUCACCAAAAAUCAGUUUUAGACCAAAAGUCAGAAAGGGUAUGUAAACUCAUGUUUGAAUGUCAAUCUUUCUAGCUAGCCAAUAAGCCUUGCUGAAUGUCACUCAUCUUGGAUCUUUGUCAUUAAAAGCUUCUGCUUCGUUAUUCAAUUAUUUCUUCAAAGUGCUGAUCAUUGCACCCUGCCUGGAAAAACUCCAACAGGGGAGUAUUUCCUUCCAACAGCGGUGUAAAAAGCUUAAAACAACCCUUCCCCUUUCAGAAAGUCAAGCAAAAAAAAAAACCUCCAAGGACCUCCGGAACCGUAAGCAACAGUAAGCAAUAGGCAUAUUGCUGGAGGGGCAGUUUCUGUUAGCAGAGCAAUAAAGAUUAGGCUAGGAAACAACACGAAAUGUUGUAAUUCCUUACAGGAUUAACCCUGUAAAGUGGAAAAAAACAAGAGAUUUCUUUUAACAACUGGUUCUCCAAACUGCUUAACUACUUAACAACCAGUUCUACCGAACUGGUGCGAACUGGUAGAAUCCCACCACUGGUUACUACAGAGUGUAGCCAGGCCGGGAGCCCCAUGGAAGGAGAUAUCCAUGGAUUUUAUUUUUGAGUUGCCCAAAAGUGGAGGAAAUACGGUCAUUUGGGUGGUCACUGAUUUGUUUUCUAAGCAAGUGCAUUUUGUCCCAUGUCCCAAGAUCGGCUAAAACUCUGGCUAAAUUGUUUGUCUAGCAUGUGUAUAGAUUACCGGUGUAAUAAUAGAGCGAAUAAUCUUGGACAGAGGGGUUCAGUUCACCUCCCACUUCUGGAAGGAGUUCCUGGGGUUGUUAGGCUCCCCCCAGGGAGCUCCACCCACCACCCUCAGACCAAUGGGGUUUGUGAAAGAACUAAUUCAGUGUUGGAACAAUACCUUAGAUGUUACAUAAAUUAUCAGCAAGAUAACUGGGUGGACUUGUUGCCAUUUGCAGAGGUCGCCUAUAAUAACUCUAUACACAGCAGUACUGGUUUUACCCCAUUUAAGGUAGCCUCAGGCCAAGACUCCGUGCCCAUCCCAAAGUUGCCUCAGGAAAACCCACAGAUACCUUCCUUGGCUGACUGGAUUGAAGAGCUAUGUGGUACCUGGUCUGUAACAUGUAAGGCCCUGGACGAGGCUCACCGAGCUCAUAAAAACCAAGCUGAUAAGAAAAGGAUUCAGGGUACGGAUUAUAAAAUAGGAGAUAGGGUUUUCCUUUCCACCAAGUACUUGCACACUACCCAAAAGUCGAAAAAAACAUGGGCCCAAAUACGUGGGUCCUUUCCCUAUUGUACGCAUAGUUAACCCAGUUACGGUGCAAUUAGAGCUGCUUAAAACCUUGCGGAGGAUUCAUCCGGUGUUUCAUGUUAGUUUGCUGAAACCCGAGCGUACGUCCCCCUUGCGUCCGGACCAAGAACCUCCUCCUGUCCCUAUACUCAUUGAAGGGGAACAGCAUUUUGAGGUCAAAGAGAUACUGGAUUCGAGGAAACAUCGAGGUAAGGUGCAGUACUUGGUGGCCUGGAAACACUUCCCAUUAGCUCAAUCAGAAUGGGUAAAUGAGUGAGAUGUUAAAGCUCCAAAGCAGCUGCAAUUGUUUUAUUCCAAAUAUCCUGAUAAACCUUAGUUAUGGAGCUGUACAUAUGUUACCUGUUUAUGUAAUUUUCUAUUUUCCUUUAUUCUGUUCUUUUUCUAGGACUAACGUCUCUUCUGCAGGAUGCCGAAUGUCAGACUCCACUUUUAUAUUACUUGCUUGCUACUGCUGCUAUUGAAACGGGGGGAGGGGGGAGCUGUCUGGAUAGUUGGGAGGGGGGAAGUGAGCUGGUGGAGUAAAUUGGAGAAAGUUUUCCUCAGUGUUUCUCUGCAGCUGGGAGGCGUGCUGAUAACCACUCAAGGUCAACCAUCCUGGCAUAUCAGAAGGAUGGAGCCAUCAGAAGCUGCACCCCACAUGAUCCCUUGGGGGAAUGUGGAUUGGAUAAUCCUGACUGGACCAUUGGGGGGGAGGGUUUUAAGGAUGCUUUCUAUAUGUGAUUUUUGCACCUAUUAACUCAGACCUUGCUUUUCUUUGGUUGCAUUCAGUUCAUACUCAGUAAAAGUACCUUUCUCCGAAGAGUUUGGCCAGCUGGUGGGCUGAGGGUAGUCCGCUGCAAGGUGAAUGAACAAGCUAUCAGAAAACAACAGAUGGGGAGAUACCACCAGCUUUAAGACCAUUUCAAUGUCUUCAUGUGGAUUUUACAGAAUUACCAAAAGUGGGGAGAGUAAAAUAUUUAUUAGUCAUAGUGGACCACCUCACAGGGUGGGUUGAAGCUUUUCUCUGCAAUAAUGCUACAGCAACAGUGGUGUCAAGAGUUUUACCCAACCUACACAGAUUAUCAUCAUAUGAACUGUUGUUUGGAGUAGUUUUUACUACAGGAAGCAUGUGCAUUAAUUCCCUGGAAACCAGAGACAAAGUAUUGAAACAAUAUGUGUAUAAACUGUCCAGAUAUUUUGAAGUUUUUAGGAAACAAGGACUAUUAGCCCAAACACCACCUUUGAAGUUUCCAGUCCACAAAUUCCACCACGAUGAUUGGAUGUUGAUCCGGAGCUGGACGGAAGUUAAACCCUAGUGAAAGGGCCCGUGCCAGCCCCAAAGGAGUGGAAGGUGGAAUCUCACCAAGGAGAUCCAUUGAAGUUGCCGAUCCAAAAGAUCCAAGGGACUGGUAGGCAGCAACCAGUGGGAAUAGCAUUCUUCAUCAUCUGGACUAUUUUUGUAUUUUUUCUUUCUUAGGAUUGAGUGGUUGCCUAUGCUGUUUCCCAACUGAAGAGGACUACAACUGAUCAGAUUCCUUUGUGCACUCUCCCAGAUGUAUUGGUUUUGUAAUUGUGCUUUAAGAUCUUAGAAGGAAGAUCCUGGAUCCAGUGGACGAGACUGAAGCCUGCGAACCAGACUGAUCCCGUGACGUACCAGGUGACACAGACAGAAAAACCCCUCAUGCUGAAAUUUAAGAAGAAUACACCCUGCUGAGUCCUACCGGCAACGGACUCUCAAUGCACGGUGGUGAUCGUCAGCCUUGCUGAACCACCCCGGAAGCUGGUUCCCAGCGCACGGCCGAAGCUUGGAAUGGAGGAAGACAACAUUCCAUGACUGUAGUUUGUAAUGUAAAAUCCAUUAACUGUAAUAGAAUCCAGUGUGCACUACUUAAAGACACUCAUGCUAGAGGGAAAUUGGGUGUGGGGACUCUGGGCAACAGCUACUUUAGCCCUUUUGUUGGUAUUGUUUUAAUACAAUUGAUGUUGCCCUAUCCCAAGUUAGGCAUAUCCCUAACCCUCUUCUUGACGUGGUGAAUUUGUAAACUAUGGGUCUUGCGCUCUUAAGGCCUUGUGGGUGUUCAAGAAAUUCCCCUUGUCCCUAUAGAAGGAAUUAAAGAUGUCAAGAAUCCCAGGGGAACUAACAGCAUCAGGACACUGAAUGGGGACACUUUGGGUCAAGUCCACUCCCGCCAACAACAUGGUAUCAGACGGUGGAGGGAAGCCUUAGACCUAAACCAACUCCUAGACCUGGGAUCAAGAGUUUAACAAUCCCGGUAGAGGGGGGAAUAGAAAAGGAGAACGGACCCCUACAACAAUUGAAAAGAGGAAAUUGCAUAUCAGGGAUACUAGAAUUGGGUCGAAACCUUGUUAAAUCAUAGGGUCACCUUCCCUGUGUGUAAAGAAACAUCAGAAACCUGGUAGGCCUAUAGGAUCCCUGACAAAAGAACUAUGUCCAUCAGAAGUGUACCUUGGUCCUAGAAUGAACCUUAGGGAUGUAAAAUUAACCAAAGAUCUUUUUCCUUCUGCACACCACUCACUUUCUCAUCACCACCAACUGCCAUCAUCACAAGAUGGGGAGGAUGGAAGAGGUCCUGGAAGGUAUCCAAGGAAAGGUGCACUAGUCUGUUCCAGCCCCCUCGCUUCACAAUCUGGCUCUCCAUUAGGUCCAACACAGGUUUAUGUGUCUUCUUUCCCCCUGUUUGAAGGACCAAUUCUCAGAGAUAAACAAAAGGACCCUUCACUAGAAGUCUCAUUGCAACCACUGGCAGGAAUGUUUGUGGCAGGGACUUUGGGGGUCUGGACUAAUGAAAACUACCGUAAGAUCCAUGCUUUCUCCAUGAACAUAGGAGGUAUGUGUGUAUUUCUGGGAAAAGACUGUUGUUUCUAUAUGAAUAAGUCAGGUGUGGUCAGAGAAGGUGCUAAAGAAUUACAAGAAAGGGCUUCCAAGAUAAGCCACAGGUUACAGACAUCAGAUAUGUGGUUUUCUUGGGUGCCAGGUUCUGGAUGGAUUAAACAAAUGAUAUUCUUGUUCAUAUGUGCGAUAGCUGGUCUAGCAUUCAUCCCAUGUGUAAUCCCAAUACUCAGACAACUAUCAAUAAAAGCAGUAAAGGAGAUUCAAGUUGAGAAGGAACUAGCUUUGACAGAACAUUUUCUUAAUCAACUUGGUCCCUAUACUGUGGAAGAACCUACAGAUUCUGAGCCAGAACCAUAUGUGGAAAUGGGACCAGUGGAAAGAUGGAGAGAAUCUAAGAAUCAAGAGAAUAGACACAAUCAUGUAUAACUUGUUAUUUGCCUUUAUUACUUAUAUUUUGUUAGAACUUAUAUAUUGUAGAUUUGUUUAUUGGAACCUUGUAUACUCACUUGUUACACUUAUAAUAGAAUAGUGGAAGUUUAUGCAUAGAAAAACUUCCAGAGGGGGGAAUAAUGUAGGUAAGCGGAUCCAGCUGGAUGAUCACUGAAGGGCCCUCUUUAUUCAUAGUAUUGUAGGAAAGGAAAUGUGCUUGUUUAAGGGAAGCCAAUUAUCCAGUUGAAAGGCAGAGAAUUCCUUUGAAGUAGAAACAUUCAGAAGGGCCUCUCAGUUGUCAGAAAUAGAGAUAUUUGGUGAUAUACAGUUUGAAGGUUAAAAUAGAUCAAAGGAUAACCACAUGUAAUAUCAACAAGAGAUAAUUUGAAUCUAUGCUUCAGUGAUUUACAAGAUGAAUUAUGACUGUUUGGCAAGAAUAAUAUGAAAUUUAGUAAUCAGGAAAUGUCAAUUAAAUAUAACAAAUGUAUAUGACCACAUAAACUGCUGUGUUAGCAGAAUCCUUUGUCUUAGAAGGGUAUAAAACCAUUGUAACUAAUUUCUGUCUUUGUUCAACGCUUCACGUACAAACGAGCUUUGAACCUAUUGCGCAAUAUACUGUCUCUGACUAACCCGGAAAAGUUGUGUUGGUCUAAUUAAUCCACAACAUUUAAGCUGAUUUAAAGACUGCAAAAGAGAUCUGGUUGAAAUUAAGAAAUGUGCGUGUGAGUUUCUCUGCAUGCAAUAUUGUACAAUUAUCAAGAAAAUUAUACAGAGCCAGUUUACAACCAGGGGAAUCUGUAGAACAACAUUUUGUACGAAUGCAAACUUUGUUUGUAGAAUUGGAACAGCGUGGCAUUCAGGUUCCCAAGGUGUUGCUAGUGUUAAACAGUCUUGAUGAAAUGUGGGACAUUGUUUCUGCAGUAUUUGAGUACAAACCAGAGCAGGAGUUGUAUUUGGAGGCUUUAAAGGCUUGUUUGAUUGUUGAGGAACAGAAAUGCCAUUAUCAAAAAAGCCAAGAGGAGGAAUUCCUGAAGUGGGGGCCCAAGGAGCAGAGUGAUAAUCCCUGAAAAGUCUUUGAAUGCUUUUAUUAUCUAUAUAAAUCUCAUUUCCUCUUGCAUUUUAAUUAUUCUUUUCUUUUCUUAAUUUCUUUUCUUAAUUUAUAUGCCAGCCAUCUCCCUGGUUUUGUAUAUUUUAAUUUCUACAUCUGGAACCAUCAGCAUAAUAACUUGUCGCAAAAAUUUUAAUUCAUAGGUAUUUAUUGAUGAAAUGAGUAAUGCUUUCUGAGACAAUGAAUAUGAGGUGUUUUUUUUUUUGCUACCAGUAGCUGUGCUGGUACUUUUUUUUAGCACAAGUAUGAAUUGAACUGAUGACAUCACAUCUUGCUUAUAUGUAGAAAAAAACCCAGGAAGGUGGGGUAGAAAUAGCAUUGUGGUUAAAAACUCUCUUUUAAAAGUCUCUAAUUUUUAACUAUCCAAAUGUGGGUGACACCUGCCAUGAAGUACAUAUAUGGCUGUAUCCCAAACCAUCGAAGAUAUUGUUCAUGUUUUAUUCGACUGUCAACUAUAUACCUUCUUAAACUUAGAUAGUUAACAUCCCUACUUGAAAGGAUAGCCUAUUGGGAUCUGAAAUGCAAAUUGUCCUAUUUCCACUUCGGGUCUAAUGUAAACGUUGUGAGCAGAACCAUUAAGUUAACUGAUAAAUGAAACAGUUAACCUAAGAACACUGUAUCAAAGAGAUUGGUAUAUCCUGUAAGGGGGAUGUGUUCUCUGGACUAUUGACUCUUUGUAUUUAGCACAUAAUGUAUUUUAUUACUGUAUUUUCCUUUUAUCUAUUUUAUUCUGACUUCAUAUCCUCUAUUUUAUUUUUUAAAAUGUUUUUGCUAUGGAUGUAAGACUAAUCAAUAAAUAAAGUAUCCAUCUAUAUAAAGUGGAAUGGAAUGCCCGCAAGUAAUAUCCUUAUUUUUAAAAAUGCUUUUGGGAUAGUAUAGUAUUUUAAAGUCAACCUGUUUCUGGAUUCUUCUCUUAAAAUAAAGGCUCAUUCAUUGUUGAUGAAA
Molecule: non-coding RNA, 7296 nt
Organism: Pantherophis guttatus
Lineage: Eukaryota; Metazoa; Chordata; Lepidosauria; Squamata; Colubridae
Source: RefSeq, a predicted model, not a curated record